GGGUCAGGGUUCUGUACUAUAGGAGGAAACAAGAUGGGGCAUGUGGUUUUCAAGGAAAAAUAUUGGAACUGAUGCCUUGCGUUGAUCUCUCUGAUCUGGUCGGCCUGGCGCGGGAACUGAGCCGCCGUCGAUGAAUUUAUCGCAGCUUGGCUACCUAUUGAUUUGGAUCCGCUUUGAAUGCAGGUAGGUUUGUUCAUAGGUUUAUGCGGCGCAUGUACUGGCAUAAUACUUGUUGAAGCACCUCCCUGGCUUCCUUGCCUUGCUGCUCUAGCACCAGCCUCGCCACCACUAAGGAUACCCAUCAUGUGUUUAGGAUCCCACACAUGGCGGUUCUUGACAUGCUUCGAGCACACCUUGGGCUAUCACCAGCUCAGUACGAGCGUGUUGUUCAUGAGGGAGGGUCGAUUUGAUUGACUAAAUCUGUAGCCAGCCAGAACCGAGGUUCAGGUCAUUCUUGUACGAACAUCUACGUUGCCAUCCCAGUAAAAGGGCAGCUUGAUUGAAUCAUGUUUGGUUAAAAGAAGUUCAGAAUCUGCAUCUCUAACUCUUCAUCGAUGAUCAAGAAACUCAUUCUUUGAUGAUUUUUUAUUCACUUGCAUGUGUUCCGGCAUUAUUAUUAUGAACCUGUGACAAAUAUCUUUUUAUGCUACUGUAGUGAGCAUCAUGCUAGCUAUUAUGAUGCUGUACUGAAGUGCUAAUCAUGUGAGUGAAUAUAUAUUAGUUGGUUUAAGCAUCAGUGAAUAUUAUUUACCCCAUAAAUCUGCACAUAAUUUUCUAUGCUAUGUGGUAGGUUUUUCUAAUUGUUGGUCAUUUGAUCCCGAUAUGAUCUCUUACUUAGGUGCUUGCUGCACCCAUAUAUUUUUAGAGCAGAGGAGAUGGUACAUCAUAUAGUUUGGUCACGAGGUUUAUUUUUUACCACUGGCUAUGUAGGUUUUGUGCUAGAAUGCAUUUCGUACACAACUAUUAGCUAUGCUUAAUUGUGUUUAGCAACUUCCUUGCAGCUCGUGCGUUGCAGAAUUUUAUAAUUAGCAAGAAUUUUACCUCCCUGGACUGAAUAAUUAGCUGACUUGGCACUAUAUAUGUUCAUAUCUGAUUGUGCGAUGUGUGAAAUUAAGUUGCAGCCCUUAGUAUACUUCAUUUUUUCCCUUUGCUUCCUUCAUAUUUUCCUAUAAAUUAACUAGAAGCUUUAUAUUUUAUGAGAUGCAUGGGCACUUAUCGUUGCAGCAUGAGUUGCCACCAAAUCAGAUUAGAAUUUUUUUAAGCAGAUUCCUAUAUUUUGAAAUAGUUAUGCUGAUCACAUUGCUUAGAUGGUUCAUGUCUUAUUUUGUAAUGUACUUCAUCGUGUCUCAAGCUUUAUGUGCUUAAUGGUGAGACGUCUCACAUGAUCUUAAAUAUGAUCAGCGAAAACCUGAGUACGUGCACGUUUGUCUUGGCUUUUUGGGGUUUGAUAUUCUUGAUGCCGUAAAAGAUUGUAAUAUGUAGCUUCUUCAAUUUUUAGGUGCUGGAGAUGUAUAGAACAGGACGAAGUUUACCCUGAAUAUGCCGUCUAUCCCCUUCCUGAAGGCAAAGCUUGGGUGACACAUCUCUUGGCAGUGGCUUGCCUAUCUCUCGCUUCAAAGAUGGAGGAGACAUAUGUGCAGCUCCCCGUGGACCUACAGAUGGUUGAGGCAAAUUCUGCGUUUGAGGGAAGGACAAUAAAAAGGAUGGAGCUUUUGGUGCUCAGCACCUUCAAAUAGAGGAUGCAAGCUAUUACUGCUUGCUCAUUUAUUGACUACUUCCUUUGCAAAUUCAAUGAUCAUGACGCACCCUCCAUGCUCGCAUUCUCCUGUUCGACCGACCUCAUCCAGAGCACAGCUAAAGGCCAAAGGAAUCUUGCGCAUAAAACAAGAUAAUGACCAAGAAGAGCAUGUGAGGGGCCAGCAGGUGUUUAUCCCGAGUGAUUUCAGUGUUUGUCAAGCCUGAUUAAGGCCGUCAUGCUUAUUCUCGACAUGCAAUGGAUUCUUAUGUCUGUUUAGGCCUAACCUCACCAAACUUUGCUACACUUCACAUCAUGAGGGAGGGAGGAUGCGUCCAUUGCAACACAAGCAAAUCAGGUGACAAGGUGUUUGGAGAAGCUACUCAUAGCUAACUACAUAGUUUAGUACAAUGUAUUAAAGCAGUGUAAAUAAAUAACUUAUAUGGCCUGCUUUUGGUACAUAGUACCGAACCUUGAUCUUUAGGUAUUUCAUGCUACAAUUUUUAACAAAUGCACCAAUGGUUUGUAACGAGAUUUGAUGUUUUGCAUUGGACCAUUACUGUUGUAAGUAAAUAUUAUCUUUUGCUUUUUGAGU
Triticum urartu is the source of this 2330-nucleotide non-coding RNA. Lineage: Eukaryota; Viridiplantae; Streptophyta; Magnoliopsida; Poales; Poaceae. The record is from RefSeq and is a predicted model, not a curated record.